UCAGGCCUAACACAUGCAAGUCGAGCGAUAUAGCGGCGGACGGGUUAGUAACGCGUGGGAACGUGCCCUUUACUACGGAAUAGCCUCUGGAAACGGAGAGUAAUACCGUAUGUGCCCUUCGGGGGAAAGAUUUAUCGGUAAAGGAUCGGCCCGCGUUAGAUUAGGUAGUUGGUGGGGUAAUGGCCUACCAAGCCUACGAUCUAUAGCUGGUUUGAGAGGAUGAUCAGCAACACUGGGACUGAGACACGGCCCAGACUCCUACGGGAGGCAGCAGUGGGGAAUCUUCGGCAAUGGGCGCAAGCCUGACCGAGCCAUGCCGCGUGAGCGAUGAAGGCCUUAGGGUUGUAAAGCUCUUUCGCCAGGGAUGAUAAUGACAGUACCUGGUAAAGAAACCCCGGCUAACUCCGUGCCAGCAGCCGCGGUAAUACGGAGGGGGUUAGCGUUGCUCGGAAUUACUAGGCGUAAAGCGCGCGUAGGCGGAUUGGAAAGUUAGAGGUGAAAUCCCAGGGCUCAACCCUGGAACUGCCUUUAAAACUCCCAGUCUUGAGUUCGAGAGAGGUGAGUGGAAUUCCGAGUGUAGAGGUGAAAUUCGUAGAUAUUCGGAGGAACACCAGUGGCGAAGGCGGCUCACUGGCUCGAUACUGACGCUGAGGUGCGAAAGCGUGGGGGAGCAAACAGGAUUAGAUACCCUGUAGUCCAC
RNAcentral lists this ribosomal RNA (700 nucleotides) under uncultured Alphaproteobacteria bacterium. Its description in RNAcentral is "bacterial SSU rRNA". It matches the Rfam family "Bacterial small subunit ribosomal RNA", at positions 42 to 798 of the family's 1533-position model. The record is from RNAcentral. Lineage: Bacteria; Pseudomonadati; Pseudomonadota; Alphaproteobacteria.